This is a long non-coding RNA of Nerophis ophidion (straightnose pipefish), 1110 nucleotides long. RefSeq lists it as uncharacterized. The record is from RefSeq and is a predicted model, not a curated record. The transcript has 2 exons. NCBI's taxonomy places the organism in Eukaryota, Metazoa, Chordata, Actinopteri, Syngnathiformes, Syngnathidae.
AAGUUCACAUAACGGAUAAAAUCUUAAAUUUGGCCUUGAAUUGCGAUAUAUUUUUUUGUACAAAAUUGAUGAAGAAACACAAAGUGAGGAUUAAGAGUCGCGAUAACAUUGUUUUAAAAGUUUGUGAUGAUGACAAAUAUGCAGAAGAACGGGGAACUAACUACUUACUCUCCGCAAGUGUGACGGUGGCGGCGGCGUUGACGGUGACGGGCAACGAGAUCUCGCCAUCCGAGUCUCCCGCAGGUAAACUGAUGAUGGUGGCUUCUCCCAGGAGGUUACAGAUCCUCUGCUGCAUGGCAGUGAGCAGGACGGGGACUGGAGUACAAUCGGCGGACGUCCCCUCUAUGGCUGCCCGCGCCUGAGCCACUUUCCUCCGGACCUCCGUCUUCAUGUCCGACCAUUUCUUCUUGACCUCCGGCAACUCCCUGGGACAGGUGGUGACAGCGUUCACCUUUUUGAGGAUCUCCAUCCACGCGUUGUUCUUUGCCAUGGAACAUUGGAGCCAGGGGGUGCAGUUCUUCAUUGUCGUCAUUUUAAAGUGUUGAGCCGCGCAGCCGGCAUGCACGGUCGCCUGUUGGCCGUCAGACUGGUACAAAGAGUCCAAAUACAGGUAGAGCAAGAUGUUGCUGAGGAGUAAAGCUGCAAGGCAAAUUGCCAUCAUCGCAGCAGUGCGGGAGAUUGCAGUGCUACUCCGACGAGCCAUGUUGCACUGGAACAGGAAAACAAAGGGGGAGACAAAAUUAUAUUUGCUGCAGAACGUCGUUUGUCAUGUGCAUUCUUUACAAUAAAAAAGAGGAACAAUGUCGCUUUACACUCAAAUGCCAACCAAUCCAAUGAAAUCUGAAGAUCCCAGCAGGACCACAUCAUCUGCAAAAAGCAGAGACUUCAUCCAGCAGCCACCAAAGCGUAUCCCUUCAAUGUCUUUGUUUUGAUUGAUUGAUUGAGACUUUUAUUAGUAGAUUGCACAGUCAAGUACAAGUACAUAUUCUGUACACCCAAAUACGUUUUUCAACUUGUUUUGGUCAGGGUCCACGUUAAUCAAUUAAUGGUAGCACCAAGAAAUGAUGUCCAUAAAAGUUAUGAACCCAAUCGGUGACAGCAUGCAGCCUG